RNAcentral lists this transfer RNA (89 nucleotides) under Leuconostoc litchii. RNAcentral's name for it is "tRNA-Leu". It matches the Rfam family "tRNA". From Rfam's summary of the family: Transfer RNA (tRNA) molecules are approximately 80 nucleotides in length. Their secondary structure includes four short double-helical elements and three loops (D, anti-codon, and T loops). Lineage: Bacteria; Bacillati; Bacillota; Bacilli; Lactobacillales; Lactobacillaceae. The record is from RNAcentral.
UGCAGUUGUGGCGGAAUUGGCAGACGCGCAGGAUUAAGGAUCCUGUGCCCGUUUUAGGGCGUGCGGGUUCGACUCCCGCCAACUGCAUC